AUUGAACGCUGGCGGCGUGCCUAACACAUGCAAGUCGAGCGGUAACAGGUGUAGCAAUACAUGCUGACGAGCGGCGGACGGGUGAGUAACGCUUGGGAAUCUGCCUGUUAGUGGGGGACAACCCGGGGAAACUCGGGCUAAUACCGCAUACGCACUACGGUGGAAAGCCGGGGACCGCAAGGCCUGGCGCUAACAGAUGAGCCCAAGUCGGAUUAGCUAGUUGGUAGGGUAACGGCCUACCAAGGCGACGAUCCGUAACUGGUCUGAGAGGACGACCAGUCACACCGGAACUGAGACACGGUCCGGACUCCUACGGGAGGCAGCAGUGGGGAAUAUUGGACAAUGGGGGAAACCCUGAUCCAGCGACGCCGCGUGGGUGAAGAAGGCCUGCGGG
RNAcentral lists this ribosomal RNA (394 nucleotides) under uncultured bacterium. RNAcentral's name for it is "bacterial SSU rRNA". It matches the Rfam family "Bacterial small subunit ribosomal RNA", at positions 29 to 422 of the family's 1533-position model. The record is from RNAcentral.